RNAcentral lists this small nucleolar RNA (121 nucleotides) under Echinops telfairi (small Madagascar hedgehog). RNAcentral's name for it is "Small nucleolar RNA SNORA61 (ENSETEG00000024098.1)". Lineage: Eukaryota; Metazoa; Chordata; Mammalia; Afrosoricida; Tenrecidae. The record is from RNAcentral.
ACCCUCCAGAGCCCUUCCCCCUCAGAUCUAAAUAUUCGCCUGAGUGGCUAAAAAAGGAGGGAAAGUAAAACUGAGGUGGACUUGGGAAUCUUUCGUGACAUACAAGUUCAUGCAAACAUAU